ACCUACGGGGGGCAGCAGUGGGGAAUAUUGCCCAAUGGGGGAAACCCUGAUGCAGCGACGCCGCGUGAGUGAAGAAGUAUUUCGGUAUGUAAAGCUCGAUCAGCAGGGAAGAUAAUGACGGUACCUGACUAAGAAGCCCCGGCUAACUACGUGCCAGCAGCCGCGGUAAUACGUAGGGGGCAAGCGUUAUCCGGUUUUAUUGGGUGUAAAGGGUGCGUAGGGGGCAGGGCAGGU
RNAcentral lists this ribosomal RNA (234 nucleotides) under uncultured bacterium. RNAcentral describes it as "partial 16S ribosomal RNA". It matches the Rfam family "Bacterial small subunit ribosomal RNA", at positions 337 to 588 of the family's 1533-position model. The record is from RNAcentral.